CUAGACCUAUUGAAGAGCUGGCUACCAGUGGGGAAGGAUCUCAUCUGGAGAUCCCUCCUUCUGGUGCUUUCUGUAGGUGAGCCUAGCAUACAGCUCUGCUGCAGGCUGCCUUGAAGCCUUCGCUGCACAGGGCCGUGUGCUCCAGCGGGACUUCUUGCUCACAGCCACCCCCUGGUCUGACUGACCUUCUCCAAGGACACACAGACCACUCUGGAGGCUCAUCAGCUCAUUCCCUUCCGGCUGGGAACCACCACGACUGUCAGCACAGCAGCAUGUGUGAGAUGUUCAGCUAGGAUGUAUGGGAACUACUGAGUCAUGGCCUGAACCUCUGAUUGAU
Long non-coding RNA from Centrocercus urophasianus (Greater sage-grouse), 337 nucleotides. RefSeq lists it as uncharacterized. The record is from RefSeq and is a predicted model, not a curated record. The transcript has 3 exons. Lineage: Eukaryota; Metazoa; Chordata; Aves; Galliformes; Phasianidae.